UACGGGGGGGGCAAGCGUUGUUCGGAUUUACUGGGCGUAAAGGGCUCGUAGGCGGCCAACUAAGUCGGAUGUGAAAUCCCCAGGCUUAACCUGGGAACUGCAUCCGAUACUGGAUGGCUUGAAUUCGGGAGAGGGAUGCAGAAUUCCAGGUGUAGCGGUGAAAUGCGUAGAUAUCUGGAGGAAUACCGGUGGCGAAGGCGGCAUCCUGGACCAUUACUGACGCUGAGGCGCGAAAGCUAGGGGAGCAAACGGG
Molecule: ribosomal RNA, 253 nt
Filed under: uncultured bacterium
Lineage: Bacteria
Description: partial 16S ribosomal RNA
Rfam family: Bacterial small subunit ribosomal RNA
Source: RNAcentral